CAUGCAAGUCGAGGGGUAUAGUUCUUCGGAACUAGAGACCGGCGCACGGGUGCGUAACGCGUAUGCAAUCUACCUUUUACAGAGGGAUAGCCCAGAGAAAUUUGGAUUAAUACCUCAUGGUAUUACGACUCGGCAUCGAGAUGUAAUUAAAGUCACAACGGUAAAAGAUGAGCAUGCGUCCCAUUAGCUAGUUGGUAAGGUAACGGCUUACCAAGGCUACGAUGGGUAGGGGUCCUGAGAGGGAGAUCCCCCACACUGGUACUGAGACACGGACCAGACUCCUACGGGAGGCAGCAGUGAGGAAUAUUGGACAAUGGGCGCAAGCCUGAUCCAGCCAUGCCGCGUGCAGGAUGACGGUCCUAUGGAUUGUAAACUGCUUUUAUACGAGAAGAAACACUACUUCGUGAAGUAGCUUGACGGUAUCGUAAGAAUAAGGAUCGGCUAACUCCGUGCCAGCAGCCGCGGUAAUACGGAGGAUCCAAGCGUUAUCCGGAAUCAUUGGGUUUAAAGGGUCCGUAGGCGGUUUAGUAAGUCAGUGGUGAAAGCCCAUCGCUCAACGGUGGAACGGCCAUUGAUACUGCUAAACUUGAAUUAUUAGGAAGUAACUAGAAUAUGUAGUGUAGCGGUGAAAUGCUUAGAGAUUACAUGGAAUACCAAUUGCGAAGGCAGGUUACUACUAAUGGAUUGACGCUGAUGGACGAAAGCGUGGGUAGCGAACAGGAUUAGAUACCCUGGUAGUCCACGCCGUAAACGAUGGAUACUAGCUGUUGGAAGCAAUUUCAGUGGCUAAGCGAAAGUGAUAAGUAUCCCACCUGGGGAGUACGUUCGCAGAAUGAAACUCAAGGAAUUGACGGGGGCCCGCACAAGCGGUGGAGCAUGUGGUUUAUUUCGAUGAUACGCGAGGGACCUUACCAAGGCUUUAAUGUAGAUUUGACCGUUUUGGAAAC
This 947-nucleotide ribosomal RNA is filed under the name Flavobacterium sp. UA-JF1510. Its description in RNAcentral is "bacterial SSU rRNA". It matches the Rfam family "Bacterial small subunit ribosomal RNA", at positions 54 to 1007 of the family's 1533-position model. Lineage: Bacteria; Pseudomonadati; Bacteroidota; Flavobacteriia; Flavobacteriales; Flavobacteriaceae. The record is from RNAcentral.